Molecule: long non-coding RNA, 453 nt
Filed under: Camarhynchus parvulus
Lineage: Eukaryota; Metazoa; Chordata; Aves; Passeriformes; Thraupidae
Description: lncRNA (ENSCPVG00000017070.1)
Source: RNAcentral
GAAAAUUUGGGGCAAUUUUGGGUGAAUUCGGGGCAGUUCUGAGUGAAUUUUGCCCAUUUUGGAUGAAUUUUGGCCGAUUUGGGGGUAGAACUGGAGCCAUUUGGGGUGAAUUUGGGGCACUUUCAGUUGCAAAAUCGAGGCAGAUUUGGGUGAAUUUGGGGCAGUUUUGGGUAAAUCUGGGGCACUUUCAGUUACAAAAACGGGACAGUUUUGGGUACAAAUUCGGGGCUGUUUGGGUCAUUCCGGGGCCGUUUUGUGGGAUUUUUUUGGGGGAUUUUUUGGGGAUUUUUUGGGGGAUUUUUUUGGGUUUUUUUUUCACGGCGGGGGCAGGGCCAGCAGGGGGGGCAGCAGCUCGGGGGUCCCAGCCCCCCGCCCUCGGCGGUGUUUGCAUUUCUCAGGCCGCUGCACGGAAGUAUUUGCUCUUGAUGUCCCAAAAACCGAUCCCGUAGUCAA